This 667-nucleotide ribosomal RNA is filed under the name uncultured archaeon. Its description in RNAcentral is "bacterial SSU rRNA". It matches the Rfam family "Archaeal small subunit ribosomal RNA", at positions 36 to 692 of the family's 1478-position model. The record is from RNAcentral.
GGAUUCGAUUAGCCUGCGAGUCGAGAGGGUUCGGCCCUCGGCAGACUGCUCAGUAACACGUGGAUAAUCUGUCCUUAGGUGGAGCAUAAUCUCGGGAAACUGAGAAUAAUACUCCAUAGAUCUAGGAUGCUGGAAUGCACCUAGGUUGAAAGCUCCGGCGCCUAAGGGUGAGUCUGCGGACUAUCAGGCUGUAGUCAGGGUAAAGACCUGACUAACCUACGACGGAUACGGGUUGUGAGAGCAAUAACCCGGAGACGAUAUCUGAGACACGAUAUCGGGCCCUACGGGGCGCAGCAGGCGCGAAACCUUCACACUGUGCGAAAGCGCGAUGAGGGAAUCCCAAGUGCUUGCACGUAAGUGUAAGCUGUUUCUAUGUCUAAAAAGCAUAGAGAGUAAAGAGCUGGGUAAGACGGGUGCCAGCCCGCCGCGGUAAUACCUGCAGCUCAAGUGGUGACCACUAUUAUUGGGCCUAAAACGUCCGUAGCCGGUUUAGUAAAUGCCUGGGUAAAUCGAGCCGCUUAACGGUUCGAAUUCCGGGGUAGGACUGCUAAACUUGGGGACCGGGGAGAGGCUANAGGUACUUCCUUGGGGUAGGGGGUUGAAAAUCCUGGUAAUCCNUGGGGGGGACCCCCCAGUGGCNAAAGGNNGUCUAACUUAGAACCGGGUC